RNAcentral lists this long non-coding RNA (4832 nucleotides) under Nicotiana tabacum (common tobacco). RNAcentral describes it as "long non-coding RNA (NTAB_LNC004730)". Lineage: Eukaryota; Viridiplantae; Streptophyta; Magnoliopsida; Solanales; Solanaceae. The record is from RNAcentral.
ACCACUCUGUAACUUAUUCAUUCUUUUUGUAACUAUCAUGGGAGAACAUGGCCACAACUCGUAAUAUAUAAUUGUAAGUGGACAACAUUGUAUUACUGAACCAUUUUUCUUGAAACAUGAAUACAUAUAGACCGUCAAGGCCUCUGACAUACUGUACAAAAUGAACCUCUGUCUACAAAGCCUCUAAGAUUGUUCGAUAUCAAAUGGGAUCGGGUACCGGCCUACCCGUAAGUCUGUAGAAAUAUUCUAACACGAUGACUUAUAGACUCAGCUGCACUCCGAAUGAGGUGGAGUCUUACCGAUCCUUCGCUGAAUGCAAACCUCAUCUACUGUGAGGGCUCAUCAAUCUAAUUUUCUAUACCUGCAGGCAUGAAUGCAAUGUCCCCAACAAAAGAACGUCAGUACGAAUAAUGUACUGAGCAUGUAAGGGAGAACUGAAACAUAACAAUAAGUUAAUAUUUAUUUAAAUACAUAUAAGAAUUAACCUGUAAGUUUGGAUAACUCUCUAAAUCAUGAAAUACUUAUAGUGUCAUGGAUAUGCAUAUUAAUGUCAUGUCGUGCAUGAUUACAUGUGCUCAUAACAUCAUUAAGCCUCUGAGGGUAUCCCAUCAAAUCAUAUCGGCCACUAUGGGCAAAUCAUCAACGUAUACCAGAUGAUCAGGUGGUGGUGCGUAUAUAACGACGUAACCAUUUUCCCAUAUCCCAUAUACAUAUAUUUACAUAUAUACGCGUAUAUAACUCCAUCUAGUGCCACUGUGGGCAAAAUCAUCAUCGUAUACCAAUUAAUCAGGUGGUGGUGCGUAUAUAAUGUCGUAACCUUUUUCCAUAUCACAUAUACAUAUAUACACAUAUAUACACGUAUAUAACGCCGUUCGAGUCAUGGGUAAAUGUAUAUGUAAAUGAAUGCAAGGCAUGAGAAGUACAUUAAAAAAACUUCUCGGAACAUCAUAAGACCAUUAUACCUUCGAGUAAUUGUGACGACCCGGCCAGUCGUCUUAAGAAUUUAUGCCCUGAUCCCCCAUUAACUGCUUUUUCCACGCUUAUUUCUGCUAUUUUUAUUUACCGGGAUGUUCGGUUUUGAGUUUCGGAGAGUUUUGGGACACUUAGUCCCUAAACGAGAACUUAAGUGUUGGAAAGUUGACCGUAGUCGGAAUAGUGUGAAGACGGCCUCGGAAUGGAAAUAUGAUGGUUCUGCUAGCUACUUUGGGUAAUUUUGGGCUUAGGGGCGUGUUCGGAUUGUAUUUUGGAGGUCUGUAGCUAAUUUAGGCUUGAAAUGCCGAAAGUUGAAUUUUUGAAGUUUCGGGUUCGAUAGUGAGAUUUUUAUCCGAGGGUUGGAAUGGAAUUCCGGAAGUUGGAGUAGCUCUGUAGUGUUUAAUGUGACGUGUGUGCAAAAUUUCAGGUCAUUCAGACGAGGUUUGAUAGAUUUUUUAUCGAAAGCGUGUUUUUAGAGUUUUUGGAAUUCUUAGACUUGAAUCCUAUAAAAAGAAUAGGUGUUUUGAUGUUGUUUUUAGCGUUCCAAAGGUUGGAACAAGUUUGAAUGAUGUUUUAUGAUUGGUUAGCAGGUUUGGUUGAGGUCCCGGGGGCCUCGGGUGUGUUUCGGAUGCCCAACGGGUCAUUUUGGAACUUGUUGGAACUGUAGAACUACUAGUAUCUGGUUUCCUUAAUCGCAUUCGCGCCCUUCCCUCCGCGUUCGCAUAGUGUAAUUUCGGAGGAUGAUUUAAUUAUUCUUUACGAUCGCAUGUUUUGGCUCACGAUCGCGGAAGUCUUCCCCCUCCUCUUUUGCGUUUGCAUCCCUCCAUUCGCGUUCGCGUAGUAGAACUAGGAACCGAGGGUACUGUGACCAUUUCCCCUUCACGUUCGCAUUGUCCCGUCUGCGAACGCGUGCGCCUAACCUUUUUUCUUCCACGUUCACGUGCUUCAUCACGCAUUCGCAUAGCCCAGUUCAGGAGCCAUCAGAUUUUCCUCUUCCCGUUCACACAUCAUUUUACGCGAUCGCGAUGUACAAACAUCUGGGCAGAAUAUAAAAAUUUCAAAAUCGAGGGUUUAGCCAUUUUUAUCAAAACAUAAGCUUGAGAGCUCGGAUUUGAGCGAGAUUUUGAGGAAUUUUCAGAGAUAUCAAUUGGGUAACGAUUCUUAACUCCUUUUUGCUUGUAACCCAUUAAUCUAAAUAUGAAUUCAUCAUUGAAUUUCGGAUUGGAGAUGAAAAUUGGGGAAAAAUUGGAAGAAAGUUCUUAGGCCUAGAAUUUGACUUUUGAUUGGGAAUUUGACCUUGGAUUUGGAUAAUUUUGGUAUGCAUGAACUCGUGAGAGCGUGACGAUUCUGAAAAUAUAAAUUUUACCCGAUUCCAAGACGUGGGCCCGAGGGACGUUUUGAUCAUUUUACCUAAUUUCGUGUAUUAGCUUAGAAUUUAUUUGUACGAUCAGUUACAUGAAGUGUUAUUUACGUUAUGAAAUUGAAUUGAAUAGAUUUGGGUCAUUUGGAGUCGAGUACUCGUGGCAAGAGCGUGGUUUCGGGUUGAUUUUGAGCUGGUUCGAGGUAAGUGGCUUGUCUAACCUUGUGUGGAGGACCUUCCCCUUAGGAUUUGGUAUAUUUGGUAAUUGAAAUGCCUGCACAUAAGGUGAUGAGUGCGUACUUGUGCUAAUUGUUGGAAAUCCGAUUUUCCUUGAGUAAUUACUAGUAUUUGUCCUUUCCUGUUUUUAUUACUCGCAUUAUUAAGCAUGUUGUUAGUGAGUUGGACUACGGGACGACACUCAGGAGAUCCACUGGACAUUUACAUUUGGGGGCUACAGGACAGUAUCCAGGUAGAUCCCCGGUUGCUAUCUUUGUGUUGAGUUGUGUUCCCUCGGUGAGUAUUUUGCCUCUGUUCUAGUUGUUGUUGCUCUUUCUAUUCUAUGUUAUUUCUUACUUUUGCACUUAAUUAUACUGUCUUGUUCUACACUGUUAUACUUUGUAUUUUAUUUUACCUCAGUAGGGCCUUGACCUUCCUCGUCACUACCCGACCGAGGUUAGGCUUGGCACUUACUGAGUACUGUUAUGGUGUACUCAUGCCCCUUUCUGCGCAUGUUUUUCAUGUGCAGAUCCAGGUACUUUCACUUGGUCUUAUUAUCCUUGAGGCGAGGCACUUCUGUAGAGACUUCGAGGUAUAUCUGCCACGUCCGCAGACCUCUUGGAAGUAUAUUGGUUUGAGAGUCAACUAUUGUGUAUGUCGAGCGGCACUUUUAAACACUAUUUUAUCGUUCUUCAUUAUGUUUUAAAUUGUUUUUAUUCCGCACUUGGUUUAUCUUUCGCAAUUUAGGCUUACCUAGUCGUAGAGGACUAGGUGCCGUCACGAGGGUUCACGGAGGGCGAACCGGGGUCGUGACAGUAAUAUCAUUUUACAGGAAUGAAUAACGUAGACAUCCUUAACUGCUAAGAAUAGAAACACUUAUGAAAUAGCAUUAUGUUUACGUAUCGUUACUUGGAUCAUGCCAAAAUGAAGGAAAGGGCUUAGCCUUAACAAACCUGAGUUGAUUCUCUUGACAAUCCUCUAAUACACAUUAAUUGCGACAAAAUACGUAACAAGUCGUAUGAAAAGCUUGAAGCAAUCACAUUGCUAUGCAAAGAAAAUCUUUGCUAUCAAGUAAAUUUUAGGAUGAUCAAUGCAAAGCAAAGGAGAAAAAUGGCUAGUCUUCUGUUAUUUUAUUUCAGAAGGCCAACAAAUUAAGAAUCAACAGAACUAUGAUCUACCAAGCACGAUUGAAACUUAAUUCUAGUGACAGACACAAAUAUAGAAAGGUAUUGCAUUCUUAGAAAUUUUGACUAAGCGUUGGUGAGUUUAAACAAAGUAUUAUUGAAUAAUUGAGCCAAUCUAUCCUCUAGAAUUGAGUUCUUAUAUCAACACACAAUUGUGAAUAUGACGGAAAAGGAAGAUGGCUCUUUUGCUAGCUGAGGAGACACUCAAGAGUUCAUUGUAUUUUCUUGCUAUCAAGAAAACAAAGACUAAUGGAAACUAAUAAUAAUAUUCUUUAUCAAAAUUAAAAAAAAAUAGAAAAGCGAGGAGAAAGACAAUGACUUAGACAACCUACUGUAAAAUUCAUAUACUCCUUUAAUCAUCUCUAUUUUCAGGAAUUUCUUAUCAUUUUUCUGCAAUACUGUGCUCGAUAAAACUUGUCAUGUAGAUGUAGAUAAAAAGUUUAUUAUGUCAACAUCUACUCCCUUAACUUACCGUAGCAGAUUAUCUUUCCAUAUAUUGCUGGCCUGUCCAUAAUUCUUUAUGGAUCUCUAGUGAUGCAAAAAGCAGCAGCAUAACCAUGAAAAGUGAAGUUAAGGGCCAUUAUGAUAAGCAAUCACUUACGGCUAAAGUAGCUAAUUACUACGUCAUGUGUACCUUUUUUUAAUGCAGGUGGAAUUAUUUAAAAGAAAAAUUAAAGGUAAGAAUAAAGGUUUCUCAACCAAAUAACCUAUCUUAUGUUCAUUGAUCAAAGAUAGACAAAGAUGUAACAAAAGAAUUCUUACUGCGCAGGCUCGGAAGAGUGAAUGUUGCCAAACCAAAAUCAAACCGUGCACCUUUUCCUUAGGCUCCCUGUGUAAAACAGGAAGUGAAGUAGAUAGUCUUCAUUCUUUAUCUGGCGCAACCCUAUAUCUCUUGGCCAAGAAAGCUCCUCAGUUUAUUAUCAAAUAUAGUUCCAAGUAUCUGGACUCUAAGAAACUAAAACUGAACCCCGAAGCAGGGAGAAGCAACUAUUGUUAUUCGGAAAGUGAAUUAAUAUUGGUGCGCGAAUUGAAAUGUUUCUAUGUAAAGCUUGGAUUGUAAAGUUUCUAUGUAAAGCUUGAAUUGUAAAGAACUUAAAAAU